GCCGAGCCGGUGGCGUGCCAGCCAAGGCAUGGCGACGCAGUGCGGGGCGAGCUACUUUCCCCAACCUACACCUUAGUACCCGCUGGGCCGAUAACAUUCAGAAAGGUAGAUAGGAUGAACAGGGUGCUCCCCAAAGGGCUCUGAGUUCAACUUGAGAGACUCAGAAACUGAAUUGGGAAAGACGCUUGACACAUGAAAUCCCUUGCUACUCUGGAGCUGUACGCAACCCUGACAGAGGAGCCUUUUACAGAAGGCAAAGAAAUGCUUCCCUGGUUUGAUAAACUUCCACCACCACCACCACCCCCCAUCCCCGCAGCAAGUCCUCAUGAUGCUGCUCAGACGCGCAUGGCCUCACCAUCUGCCUUUCGGUUUCUAGGUGAGGGACGUGACACCAAGAUUCCAAGGAACCGUAUCUGAAAGCCAGCCCCUUCUGAAUGUAUAUACACUACUAAGGAACAAGAAUAAGUAGACACACUGCCCAUAAACAAAAGGAGCAUCAUCACUUCAAAUAAAGGCAGUGGGACUAUGAAG
RNAcentral lists this long non-coding RNA (531 nucleotides) under Mus musculus (house mouse). Its description in RNAcentral is "predicted gene, 56641". Lineage: Eukaryota; Metazoa; Chordata; Mammalia; Rodentia; Muridae. The record is from RNAcentral.